Molecule: transfer RNA, 85 nt
Filed under: Patescibacteria group bacterium
Lineage: Bacteria
Description: tRNA-Leu
Rfam family: tRNA
About the family: Transfer RNA (tRNA) molecules are approximately 80 nucleotides in length. Their secondary structure includes four short double-helical elements and three loops (D, anti-codon, and T loops).
Source: RNAcentral
GGGCGAGUGGAGAAACUGGUAGACUCGUAUGCUUGAGGGGCAUAUGCUGAAAAGCAUGAGGGUUCGAAUCCCUCCUCGCCCACCA